AUUAGUGGCAGACGGGUGAGUAAUGCAUAGGAAUCUACCUAGUAGUAUAGGAUUGCCACUAGAAGUGGUGGGUAAUACUGUAUAAUCCCUGCGGGGGAAAGAUUUAUCGCUACAUGAUGAGCCUAUGUUAGAUUAGCUAGUUGGUGGGGUAAUGGCCUACCAAGGCAGUGAUCUAUAGCUGGUCUGAGAGGAUGAUCAGCCACACUGGAACUGAGACACGGUCCAGACUCCUACGGGAGGCAGCAGUGGGGGAUAUUGGACAAUGGGCGCAAGCCUGAUCCAGCUAUGCCGCGUGAGUGAGGAAGGCCUUAGGGUUGCAAAACUCUUUCAGUAGGGAAGAUAAUG
Molecule: ribosomal RNA, 345 nt
Filed under: Anaplasma bovis
Lineage: Bacteria; Pseudomonadati; Pseudomonadota; Alphaproteobacteria; Rickettsiales; Anaplasmataceae
Description: bacterial SSU rRNA
Rfam family: Bacterial small subunit ribosomal RNA
Source: RNAcentral